UGUAAGAAAGACUAAGGGAUAGUCUUCGGGCUCAUAACCCGAGAAAAGUGAGUUCGAGUCUCACUCUUACAA
Molecule: transfer RNA, 72 nt
Filed under: Blastomussa merleti
Lineage: Eukaryota; Metazoa; Cnidaria; Anthozoa; Scleractinia; Plerogyridae
Also listed under: 9 other names
Description: tRNA-Met
Rfam family: tRNA
About the family: Transfer RNA (tRNA) molecules are approximately 80 nucleotides in length. Their secondary structure includes four short double-helical elements and three loops (D, anti-codon, and T loops). Further hydrogen bonds mediate the characteristic L-shaped molecular structure. tRNAs have two regions of fundamental functional importance: the anti-codon, which is responsible for specific mRNA codon recognition, and the 3' end, to which the tRNAs corresponding amino acid is attached (by aminoacyl-tRNA synthetases). tRNAs cope with the degeneracy of the genetic code in two manners: having more than one tRNA (with a specific anti-codon) for a particular amino acid; and 'wobble' base-pairing, i.e. permitting non-standard base-pairing at the 3rd anti-codon position.
Source: RNAcentral